This 253-nucleotide ribosomal RNA is filed under the name uncultured bacterium. RNAcentral describes it as "partial 16S ribosomal RNA". It matches the Rfam family "Bacterial small subunit ribosomal RNA", at positions 524 to 776 of the family's 1533-position model. The record is from RNAcentral.
UACGUAGGUGGCAAGCGUUGUCCGGAAUUAUUGGGCGUAAAGCGCGCGUAGGCGGUCCUUUAAGUCUGAUGUGAAAGCCCACGGCUCAACCGUGGAGGGUCAUUGGAAACUGAGGGACUUGAGUGCAGGAGAGAAGAGUGGAAUUCCACGUGUAGCGGUGAAAUGCGUAGAGAUGUGGAGGAACACCAGUGGCGAAGGCGACUCUUUGGCCUGUAACUGACGCUGAGGCGCGAAAGCGUGGGGAGCAAACGGG